AGAAGGAGGAGACUGCCGGACAGACUGAGCUCCACUCCAACUGAGAUAAAGCUGAAAACAAAAAAGGAGUAAGAAGGGACUGGAGCCAGGGGGACAUGGAAGACUCCAGAAGGGGGUAGGUGGAGGAUUGCUGAAAACAGUUCGGCAAGUGGAUCGUACACAGGAUGCUCCUUAUGGGACCACAUACAUGUUGUGCUUGGGCAGCACUGUGUUUUCUUGAGCAAAGACUCAGCAUAGGGCUGGGGUCACCUUUAUAGAGAGAGCCUAGUGUGGGGGUUGGGGAGAAGCCAGUUUGGUCAAGUCUCUUAACACAGUAUGUGGGUGAGUCCUUUGUGCCAGAUGGAGUUCAAGGUUCACAGGAGCCCACUCACUGGCAGGGGGAGCCUGGCCUGGGCUGUGGGGUGUGUGGCAUCCCCAUCGGAAGGGCCACAGGAAACACCACUGAUGGCGGUGCCCAGCUCCCCUGCACCUGCCCACCAGCCUCGGCUCUCUUGCACCUGGGGAAUCACGUCCUCCUGCUCAAAGACCACAGCUCCAUCCCAGGACCUGCAGACUUCUCCUUACCCAGAGGCCACAAUCCUCCAACCAGCUGAUCAUGCGACUUCUGUCUCCUGACUGCCCCCAGCAAGGUACAAGGUCUGAGCUGAAGAAUGAAAGUUCACGGCCAAGCAAGCUUGACCAGUGGUUCUGCAUCCUAUGGACCGCCCCCCCACUUAGGCUCCUCCUCCCAGACCUGGUCAGGUGACCACAGCAGCGUGUGACAGAAGGCAAGUUCUCCCCAGCUGGGAACUCUGUGUAAGAAGAGCACAGGCAAAGUGUUGGUGAUUUGGGACGAUACGUUACAACACGGCUGAGAAAUUGUCCAGAAACCUCAGGUCAGGGCAGAUUUAUGUCCCCCACCAUCGGCAUAAACCCAUAUAAUUUGACGCACUGGAAAAUUCAAUACAGUGAAGCCGACAAGCAGGAUUGUGUCGAUAAGUCUUCAAUAAAAGUC
Mustela lutreola (European mink) is the source of this 994-nucleotide long non-coding RNA. RefSeq lists it as uncharacterized. The record is from RefSeq and is a predicted model, not a curated record. Lineage: Eukaryota; Metazoa; Chordata; Mammalia; Carnivora; Mustelidae. The transcript has 3 exons.